UCAAAAACAUGUCCUAUUGAUGAAUUUAUAUUAGGUCAAACCUGCCCACUGAUAGUAUUAUUGAAGGGCCGCAGUAAUUUGACUGUGCGAAGGUAGCAUAAUCAUUUGUCUAUUAAUUGUAGGCUUGUAUGAAUGGUUUGAUGAAAUGUUUACUUUCUUUAUAUAAAUAUGAUAAAUUUAAUAUUUGAGUUAAAAAGCUUAAAUGUUUAUGGAGGACGAGAAGACCCUAUAGAGUUUUACUAUUAUGGACUUAUUACUUUUUUGGUUAUUUAUAAUGUUAAAUAAUGUGAUGAUAGUUUUGUUGGGGCGACAUGGAGAUUUAUUUAACUCUCUAUUUAUAUGAUAUAUUUAUUUAUAUUUUAAGGAUCCCUUAUUUAGGAUUAAAAGAUUAAACUACCUUAGGGAUAACAGCGUAAUUUUUAUGGAGAGUUCUUAUUGAUAUAAAAGUUUGCGACCUCGAUGUUGGAUUAAAUUAAGAUUUGGGUGUAGAAGCUCAAUUUUCUAGGUCUGUUCGACCUUUAAUUAUUUACAUGAUCUGAUUUUCAACCGGGA
This 552-nucleotide ribosomal RNA is filed under the name Coridius janus. Its description in RNAcentral is "partial large subunit ribosomal RNA". It matches the Rfam family "Bacterial large subunit ribosomal RNA", at positions 1807 to 2621 of the family's 2925-position model. The record is from RNAcentral. Lineage: Eukaryota; Metazoa; Arthropoda; Insecta; Hemiptera; Dinidoridae.